UUUUGAAUUGUACAUUGCGGAAAACAGGAGAGGACAGACAUGGAAACAUUUAAGGAAACCAUGGCAACAAAUGGCUCAGUAGCUCUAUAACAGGUCUUGUUCUUCCCUGCUUCCUCCUGCGUUUGGCAUGCUGCGGUGGGGAGAGGCGAGCUCAGAUCGCUGCUUCGCUUCGGUUGCCUGCCGUUGAUGGGACAGUCUUCUGAGGCUCCUUGCAGAUAAGGCACAGAAAUUAAGGCCAGGAGUGAUGGAUGUUUCAGCUGGAAGGGAAACCACCCUGUACGGAGCCCGGGAAACUUCAUCCCCACUGAGAGCGGGAUAUAAAGAGCUUUUAUGGUGAUUGUCACCCUGUGUGGUGGGGAAGGAAGAGCAAACCGGGAAAGGUGAGCCAGCCAAGGCGCAGAAAGAAGAAAUGGUCCAGCUCCUGCCCUCUCUAAUUCGCAGACUGUUUCAGACACUAAAAUUGUGACAGCUUGCUCUUGUGAUAAAGAUGUUAACAAGAAGAGAAAAUGACAUUAAUUUAAUCUAUUCUUACAGGUCAUGCUGAAAUGAGACUGUGAUGAUACAAAAUUAUAAUAAUAAAUAUGGUAGUAAUUUCACAAUUCUUUAUAGAUACUGUUCACAAUCCUUUCACAUGCAAAUGUCCUAUCCUGUCCUUCAUGACAGUGAUUUUUGGUGCCAUCCAGACUCUGAUUCAGCAUCUUCUAAUAGUUGAUUCCAUAAUUACUUUAUAUUGCAAGAACAAUAUAAAAUACUAUCCCAGAUUAGGAUCUCAAGAUGGCUUUACUUUUAUUACUCUUUCUCCUGGGCCUCUAAGAACAUUUCCGAUUUAGGCAUUUUCCACAUUUUCAGAAGCAAAUUAGAUCAUCAGCA
Grus americana (Whooping crane) is the source of this 870-nucleotide long non-coding RNA. RefSeq lists it as uncharacterized. NCBI's taxonomy places the organism in Eukaryota, Metazoa, Chordata, Aves, Gruiformes, Gruidae. The transcript is spliced from 4 exons. The record is from RefSeq and is a predicted model, not a curated record.